GACGAACGCUGGCGGCGUGCCUAAUACAUGCAAGUUGAGCGCUGAAGGUUGGUCCUUGUUCCAACUGGAUGAGCAGCGAACGGGUGAGUAACGCGUGGGGAAUCUGCCUUUGAGCGGGGGACAACAUUUGGAAACGAAUGCUAAUACCGCAUAAAAACUUUAAACACAAGUUUUAAGUUUGAAAGAUGCAAUUGCAUUACUCAAAGAUGAUCCCGCGUUGUAUUAGCUAGUUGGUGAGGUAAAGGCUCACCAAGGCGAUGGUACAUAGCCGACCUGAGAGGGUGAUCGGCCACAAUGGAACUGGGACCACGCCCAAACUCCUACGGGAGGGAGCAGUAGGGAAUCUUCGGCAAUGGACGAAAGUCUGACCGAGGCACGCCGCGGUAGUGAAGAAGGUUUUCGGGUCGUAAAACUCUGGUGAUAGAGAAGAAAGUUAGGGAGAGUGGAAAGCUCACCAAGUGACGGUAACUACUCAGAAAGGGACGGCUAACUACGUG
This 497-nucleotide ribosomal RNA is filed under the name uncultured bacterium. RNAcentral describes it as "partial 16S ribosomal RNA". It matches the Rfam family "Bacterial small subunit ribosomal RNA", at positions 28 to 507 of the family's 1533-position model. The record is from RNAcentral.